RNAcentral lists this small nuclear RNA (21 nucleotides) under Arabidopsis thaliana (thale cress). RNAcentral's name for it is "snRNA_06461". The record is from RNAcentral. Lineage: Eukaryota; Viridiplantae; Streptophyta; Magnoliopsida; Brassicales; Brassicaceae.
CAAUGAAUGAAAAUGGUAAAA